Molecule: non-coding RNA, 54 nt
Organism: Salmo salar (Atlantic salmon)
Lineage: Eukaryota; Metazoa; Chordata; Actinopteri; Salmoniformes; Salmonidae
Source: Rfam
UUCAUUCACUACUGUAAGUCGCUCUGGAUAAGAGCGUCUGCUAGAUGACUAAAA